Molecule: ribosomal RNA, 253 nt
Filed under: uncultured bacterium
Lineage: Bacteria
Description: partial 16S ribosomal RNA
Rfam family: Bacterial small subunit ribosomal RNA
Source: RNAcentral
GACGGAGGGUGCUAGCGUUGUUCGGAAUUACUGGGCGUAAAGGGCUCGUAGGCGGCCAACUAAGUCAGACGUGAAAUCCCUCGGCUUAACCGGGGAACUGCGUCUGAUACUGGAUGGCUGGAGUUUGGGAGAGGGAUGCGGAAUUCCAGGUGUAGCGGUGAAAUGCGUAGAUAUCUGGAGGAACACCGGUGGCGAAGGCGGCAUCCUGGACCAAUACUGACGCUGAGGAGCGAAAGCCAGGGGAGCAAACGGG